RNAcentral lists this ribosomal RNA (506 nucleotides) under uncultured bacterium. RNAcentral describes it as "partial 16S ribosomal RNA". It matches the Rfam family "Bacterial small subunit ribosomal RNA", at positions 29 to 523 of the family's 1533-position model. The record is from RNAcentral.
AGUGAACGCUGGCGGUAGGCCUAACACAUGCAAGUCGAACGGCAGCACAGGAGAGCUUGCUCUCUGGGUGGCGAGUGGCGGACGGGUGAGGAAUACAUCGGAAUCUACUCUGUCGUGGGGGAUAACGUAGGGAAACUUACGCUAAUACCGCAUACGACCUACGGGUGAAAGCAGGGGACCUUCGGGCCUUGCGCGAUUGAAUGAGCCGAUGUCGGAUUAGCUAGUUGGCGGGGUAAAGGCCCACCAAGGCGACGAUCCGUAGCUGGUCUGAGAGGAUGAUCAGCCACACUGGAACUGAGACACGGUCCAGACUCCUACGGGAGGCAGCAGUGGGGAAUAUUGGACAAUGGGCGCAAGCCUGAUCCAGCCAUACCGCGUGGGUGAAGAAGGCCUUCGGGUUGUAAAGCCCUUUUGUUGGGAAAGAAAUCCAGCUGGCUAAUACCCGGUUGGGAUGACGGUACCCAAAGAAUAAGCACCGGCUAACUCUGUGCCAGCAGCCGCAGUAA